Molecule: long non-coding RNA, 1335 nt
Organism: Mus musculus (house mouse)
Lineage: Eukaryota; Metazoa; Chordata; Mammalia; Rodentia; Muridae
Product: predicted gene, 35597
Exons: 3
Source: RefSeq, a predicted model, not a curated record
GUUUGCCCCCUGGGUGAUGCUCCUGAGCUCUACAGCUUCUGAAUAAUUAACCUUUCCAGUGAGGAUUUGAGGUGAAGAUUGAGCUGGGGCCUGGAGUGAACACCCUGCCCUGCCUCAGCUCCUGCCUGAGUGAGGAAAAAAAGAAAUAAAAAGGAGGCCAUGACAGCCCCUAGGUAUGGUGGAGGAGAAAGUUUAUUGUAGAUAUGGAGAAGAGCCUAGCCAGAAAAGCAUUUGGAAGGGCCCAGAGUGAACAAGACCCUGAGCUGGGUCAUGGGAGGGGAGAGGGGAAAGCCAUGAGACCAAAAGUGCAAAAGGGUAAAAAGACCAGCUUAGCCAAAAUGACUGCAUUCUAUAGAGAAGAACCACUAGAAGAAGGGUGGCCCAGGCCCUGGGCUGGAGAAGGUUUAGGUCAGGGAACCAGGCACGCCAACCAGGAGGAUCCUGAAAACAAGCAGAGACUGGGGGAUGCUAGGAGAGCUAGGCAGCUUGUGUAGGACCUCCAUCAGCUAUUUGACUGCAUUUGAGCCCUAAUGCCCUGAAUGUUGAAGUGUUGUACCCAUCCGGAGCCUAAGUGUUGAGAUCAUUUGACCACUAGGGAGGGACAGAAUUUCACAGUCACCUUGGAGCCAGUCCAAGAAGUAUCUCCCUGAGAUAGCAGCUUAUUAUCAGCAAAACUGACUGUCAGUGUCUAGUCUGGCCCAGCCUGCUAGUGUCUUGUGACCAGGCUGAAAAAACAGGAAGGUGUUUGACAACCCCCCACAUCCAACAGUGGGAUUAAAGGCCAGGAAGCAAGAGAAGGCCUCCAGAUUGCAGGGGAGAGAAUCCUGAGCUUUGGAUGAACACCUGGAUUCUUUAACUCCCCAGCACCUCUUAUCUGCGAUAAAAUGGCAUUGUCUCUCUCCUGCUUCAGAUGUGCACAUUUUGAGAAGUGGAGAGCAAGAAUACAGUAUGACAUCUCUUCUCAGAGACUACAGGUUUUUUUUGAGACUUGGUUUCUCUGACUGUUCUGGAAUUCACAGAGGUCUACCUGCUUCUGCAUUAUGAUUGCUGGGAUCAAAGGUAUGUGACACCACCUCCCCUAAGAUGCUACAUUCUUUUAAUUGCAGUAUAUAUGUAUAUAUAUACAUACAGAGAGGAACAGAGAGAGAGAGCAAGACCAUAUCUUCAUGGUUGGUUAGGUUUUAUUACUAUUUUGUUGUUGUUUGCUUGUAUGUGUGUGUAUGUUGAGACCUAAGUUUGAUGUCAGAAAUAAUCUUCCAUUUUAUUAAAUUCUUUUGUUUGUUUUUGAUUUUGGAGACAAUGUUUCUCCAUGUAGCUCUGGCUGUCCUGGAACUC